UACGGAGGAUGCGAGCGUUAUCCGGAUUUAUUGGGUAUAAAGGGUGCGUAGGCGGGAUGCCAAGUCAGCGGUAAAAAUGCGGUGCUCAACGCCGUCGAGCCGUUGAAACUGGCGUUCUUGAGUGGGCGAGAAGUAUGCGGAAUGCGUGGUGUAGCGGUGAAAUGCAUAGAUAUCACGCAGAACUCCGAUUGCGAAGGCAGCAUACCGGCGCCCUACUGACGCUGAGGCACGAAAGCGUGGGUAUCGAACAGG
This 252-nucleotide ribosomal RNA is filed under the name uncultured bacterium. Its description in RNAcentral is "partial 16S ribosomal RNA". It matches the Rfam family "Bacterial small subunit ribosomal RNA", at positions 524 to 776 of the family's 1533-position model. The record is from RNAcentral.